UAAUGGACAUAGACAUGGAAAUGGAGAC
RNAcentral lists this small RNA (28 nucleotides) under Bombyx mori (domestic silkworm). RNAcentral's name for it is "ovarian small RNA-19776". The record is from RNAcentral. Lineage: Eukaryota; Metazoa; Arthropoda; Insecta; Lepidoptera; Bombycidae.